Lathyrus oleraceus (garden pea) is the source of this 2485-nucleotide long non-coding RNA. RefSeq lists it as uncharacterized. The transcript has 4 exons. The record is from RefSeq and is a predicted model, not a curated record. Lineage: Eukaryota; Viridiplantae; Streptophyta; Magnoliopsida; Fabales; Fabaceae.
CUGAAGCACAUACCUCUGUUGACUUGUCCAAGUCAACAAAGUUCAAACUGAACUCCAUGCGCGCGCUAUCUCAUCAAACCAUCUCACAGUUGUUUCACUUUGGGCCACCGCACCAGUGGCCGUCGUCGGCGCUGAUGUCAACUUACACCUCUAAUCCUAACCUAACUGAAACACUCAGUCAAGCUGAACACGAAAACGGCCAUGGAUUGAAGGAACGCUCCUCACACCGGCCAAACCACACCUUUGAGGAGAAGAACCCUAAGGUCUAUAAGCCAAAUUAAACAGCAAACGGUGUAACCUAAACCUCACAACCAUAGGGGUUUCAUUCUUCAACCUAAAGGAUACGCUCUGGUACGCUCAUAACAAGAAACGACGACAAAAUGUAAAUGACAUACCGGAGAAGAUGAUCGGAGAAUUCGUCGGUGCACAUAUAUUGUGGUUUGCUUGAUGUUGUUUUGGCAAUGGCUCAUGUUUCAAAUAUGUUGCAAGUUCUGCUCAUGACCCUGCUACACUAUCAUAGCAAUCCUAGUUUGAUAUUUUGGCAAGAUUUUGGUAGGGCGUUGGCUGCAAUGUUUGUCUGGAUGCUUCCUACCGUGAACUGUGGCUCGAGUUGGGUCACACUUUGAAUAGGUCUGAGCGGGCUUACAAACUGUUGUGCACUCUGCAAGUAUGGUUCUGUCUUGCAACAGGGUGUAGCAAUUUGUGGCAUUGCCUUGGUUUUGGUUCACUUGUGAUCAAGCAGUUCAUAAUCUCAAGGCUUGCAACAAUUCUGACUUGAUGACUGGUUCAACUGCUAGUUGCUUGCAAAAUGUUCUUGUGAAUCAGGAUAAGGUGUUUGUGGUUUCAUUAUCUGGUUGCAAUUCUUACUCCAAAUCGGCUAGACAACUUAGCUGAUAGUUGAUGAAUGCUUGGAACAGGUAAUGCGAAUUGAGGUGCCUCAUGUUCCUUUAGCUGUUGAUGGUGAAUGGUAGGUUCAACUUUAAUUUUUCUUAGUCAUAAUUCUUUGACAGGGUGUGGUUUAGUUUCAGUUUUGUUGCCUCCUGGUUAUAUGCCACAGGAACCACUUCCUUUGGUUUUAAGUAGCAGACUUGUGGCUUGCCUUAGGGUAAUAAUUAUGCCCUUGUUUUAACCCUAGCUUGUUAUGAAAAUGGCUUUGAGAUGCUGCAGAGUUUGUUUUUGAAUGCUUGAUGAAUGUUAUUGACCAAUGGAAUGUAUAUGCAUUGGGUCUUGGUCUGGAUGCAAAUUUUUGGAAUUUAGUUAGAGGGAUUCUGGCAUGAUGAUAAGUUAGUGGCAUGCUACUGUCAUGGUCAUAUGAUAGAAGGGCACGCAUCAUGAAUUUGGCAUGCAGUUGUGCAUUAUUAGCUUGGCUCUAAUGGUGAGAAAACUACUGCUAACAUUGUCAAGGUUGGAAAUCAAGGUUCUACUAGUUUUGUUGCCAUUGUUGGAACUGCAGCAGUCUGGUUGCAAUGUACUGCUCAUGGAUUGGCUUUGCUGCACGAAUGGGCUUGCUAUGGUAAGCUUUGGUUUCAUAACAUGUUUUGGCAUGACUCUGCAGGUACGUGUCAGCAUUUCAGAGUCAUUGGAACUGCAAGUUAGGUAUUGGGCAAUGUGACUUGGUGUUGAUAGCUUCACCUUGGUUUUGCCUCCUGUUUUACAUGUUUGUACCAUCUUGAGUUGACAGUUUUUCAGCAUGUGUAUUGCUAGCUUCCAUUCUGGUUUUGCUUCAUAUUUUGAUAAGCCUAGCCUCGUGAAUGCAUGGUUGCUCGUGUGAUGCAAAAGGAUUAAAUCAUGGCAUGGUGUACAUGUUAACUUAGGCUUAUUUGCAGACUGAUAUGAUAUGCUAAUCCAUGGCCAUUUCCUGAUGAGUUUGUGACAACAGGUGUGUUGUAGCAGGCCUGUAGGAUGAUGAUGUGAUGCUGUUGCAGAGCAGGAUGUGACAUGGCUGUGGCAGCAGUAUUGGCUAGACUAUCUGCAUCCAUGGAUUUGUUGCACAAUGGUUAAACUAUUAGGGGACUCCUUGGUCAAUGGUUAGGGCAAGCUAAAGGCAAAUGGUUAAUGGUUCAUGGUCAAGACAACAUGGUUUGCACAAUGGGACUUGCUUGCAAUGGAAGAAACCAAGAAAAAAAACAACAAAAAAUGAAGAUUGGGUGAUGUAUUGAAGAAAAAGGCCAGGCCAAGUUGGAUGGGCAAAAGCAAGUGAAAGUUGACUUUGCUCAAAGUUGACCGAAAAGUCAACUGUUGACAAAAAUCAACAAAUGGUCAAAAUGUAUUUUCUUUGUGAUUUCUUUGUAAAUGGAUAUUCAAUGGACAAUUAUGGGUGAAUUUAGGGUUUAAUGGAUUUGGGUUGACUUUGGUCAAAGUUGACCAAAAAGUCAAUUGUUGACCAAAGUCAACAGUUGGUCAAAAAUGCCAAAUUUUGUAUUUUCUUGUAUGGAAUCACAUGUAAUGGUUUAAAAUGGAUGAAAUGGAUUGGAAUGGUUUUGAA